UUACCGAGUGAGGGUCCCUCGGGGCCCAACCUCCCAUCCGUGUUGUCCUGACACCUGUUGCUUCGGCGGGCCCGCCGUGGUUCACGCCCCGGCCGCCGGGGGGUUCACGCCCCCGGGCCCGCGCCCGCCGAAGACCCCUGGAACGCUGCCUGGAAGGUUGCCGUCUGAGUAUACAAUCAAUCAAUUAAAACUUUCAACAACGGAUCUCUUGGUUCCGGCAUCGAUGAAGAACGCAGCGAAAUGCGAUAAGUAAUGUGAAUUGCAGAAUUCCGUGAAUCAUCGAAUCUUUGAACGCACAUUGCGCCCCCUGGCAUUCCGGGGGGCAUGCCUGUCCGAGCGUCAUUGCUAACCCUCCAGCCCGGCUGGUGUGUUGGGCCGCCGUCCCCCCCCCCGGGGGACGGGCCCGAAAGGCAGCGGCGGCGUCGCGUCCGGUCCUCGAGCGUAUGGGGCUUUGUCACACGCUUCAGUAGAACCGGCCGGCUUGCUGGCCACACGACCUUCACGGUCACCUAUAUUUCUCUUAGGUUGACCUCGGAUCAGGUAGGGAUACCCGCUGAACUUAAGCAUAUCAAUAAGCGGAGGAAAAGAAACCAACAGGGAUUGCCCCAGUAACGGCGAGUGAAGCGGCAAGAGCUCAAAUUUGAAAUCUGGCCCCUCCGGGGUCCGAGUUGUAAUUUGCAGAGGAUGCUUCGGGCGCGGUCCCCGUCUAAGUACCCUGGAACGGGUCGUCAUAGAGGGUGAGAAUCCCGUCUGGGACGGGUGGCCGUGUCCGUGUGAAGCUCCUUCGACGAGUCGAGUUGUUUGGGAAUGCAGCUCUAAAUGGGUGGUAAAUUUCAUCUAAAGCUAAAUAUUGGCCGGAGACCGAUAGCGCACAAGUAGAGUGAUCGAAAGAUGAAAAGCACUUUGAAAAGAGAGUUAAACAGCACGUGAAAUUGUUGAAAGGGAAGCGCUUGCGACCAGACUCGCCCGCGGGGGUUCAGCCGGUACUCGUACCGGUGUACUCCCCCGGGGGCGGGCCAGCGUCGGUUUGGGCGGUCGGUCAAAGGCCUCCGGAAUGUGUCGSCCCCCGGGGCGUCUUAUAGCCGGAGGUGCAAUGCGGCCAGCCUGGACCGA
Molecule: ribosomal RNA, 1113 nt
Filed under: fungal endophyte
Lineage: Eukaryota; Fungi
Description: eukaryotic LSU rRNA
Source: RNAcentral